This 496-nucleotide ribosomal RNA is filed under the name uncultured bacterium. RNAcentral's name for it is "partial 16S ribosomal RNA". It matches the Rfam family "Bacterial small subunit ribosomal RNA", at positions 28 to 506 of the family's 1533-position model. The record is from RNAcentral.
GAUGAACGCUGGCGGCGUGCCUAAUACAUGCAAGUCGAGCGAACGGACGAGAAGCUUGCUUCUCUGAUGUUAGCGGCGGACGGGUGAGUAACACGUGGAUAACCUACCUAUAAGACUGGGAUAACUUCGGGAAACCGGAGCUAAUACCGGAUAAUAUUUUGAACCGCAUGGUUCAAAAGUGAAAGACGGUCUUGCUGUCACUUAUAGAUGGAUCCGCGCUGCAUUAGCUAGUUGGUAAGGUAACGGCUUACCAAGGCAACGAUGCAUAGCCGACCUGAGAGGGUGAUCGGCCACACUGGAACUGAGACACGGUCCAGACUCCUACGGGAGGCAGCAGCAGGGAAUCUUCCGAAAUGGGCGAAAGCCUGCCGGAGCAACGCCGCGUGAGUGAUGAAGGUCUUCGGAUCGUAAAACUCUGUUAUUAGGGAAGAACAUAUGUGUAAGUAACUGUGCACAUCUUGACGGUACCUAAUCAGAAAGCCCCGGCUAACUACGU